RNAcentral lists this ribosomal RNA (108 nucleotides) under Bison bison bison. The record is from RNAcentral. Lineage: Eukaryota; Metazoa; Chordata; Mammalia; Artiodactyla; Bovidae.
GUCUACGGCCAUACCACCCUGAACGCGCCCGAUCUCGUCUGAUCUCGGAAGCUAAGCAGGGUCGGGCCUGGUUAGUACUUGGAUGGGAGAACCACCAGUUUAUUGACA